Molecule: ribosomal RNA, 457 nt
Filed under: uncultured Acholeplasma sp.
Lineage: Bacteria; Bacillati; Mycoplasmatota; Mollicutes; Acholeplasmatales; Acholeplasmataceae
Description: bacterial SSU rRNA
Rfam family: Bacterial small subunit ribosomal RNA
Source: RNAcentral
GGCACAAGCGGUGGAUCAUUGUUGUUUAAUUCGAUGAUACGCGAAGAACCCUUACCAGGUCUUGACAUCCCCCGCGAUGCUUUAGAGAUAAAGCGGAGGUAUUCGGGGAGACAGGUGGUGCAUGGUUGUCGUCAGCUCGUGUCGUGAGAUGUUGGGUUAAGUCCCGCAACGAGCGCAACCCCUAUUGCUAGUUACCAUCAUUAAGUUGGGGACUCUAGCGAGACUGCCAGUGAUAAACUGGAGGAAGGUGGGGAUGACGUCAAAUCAUCAUGCCCCUUAUGACCUGGGCUACAAACGUGAUACAAUGGCUGGAACAAAGGGAUGCGAAGCAGUGAUGUGGAGCGAAACCCAUAAAAACAGUCUCAGUUCGGAUUGAAGUCUGCAACUCGACUUCAUGAAGUCGGAAUCGCUAGUAAUCGCGGAUCAGAACGCCGCGGUGAAUACGUUCUCGGGGUUU